CCUACGGGUGGCUGCAGUGGGGCAUAUUGCGCAAUGGGCGAAAGCCUGACGCAGCGACGCCGCGUGAGGGAUGAAGGUCUUCGGAUCGUAAACCUCUGUCAGCAGGGAAGAACGGUCACUGUGCUAAUCAGCAGUGAAUUGACGGUACCUGCAAAGGAAGCACCGGCUAACUCCGGGCCAGCAGCCGCGUUAAUACGUAGGGUGCGAGCGUUAAUCGGAAUUACUGGGCGGAAAGCGCUCGUAGGCGGUAUGGCAAGUCAACGGUGACAUCCCCCCGCUCAACGUGGGGACUGCCUUUGAAACUGGCAAGCUGGAGUGUGUGGGAGGAUAGUGGAAUUCCAGGUGUAGGAGUGAAAUCCGUAGAGAUCUGGAGGAACAUCAGUGGCGAAGGCGACUAUCUGGAACAUAACUGACGCUGAGGAGCGAAAGCGUGGGUAGCAAACAGGAUUAGAUACCCUUGUAGUC
Molecule: ribosomal RNA, 465 nt
Filed under: uncultured bacterium
Lineage: Bacteria
Description: partial 16S ribosomal RNA
Rfam family: Bacterial small subunit ribosomal RNA
Source: RNAcentral